GGCAGAGGAAGCCCGGUUCCCGUGGGCGAAGCCCGUCUCGGCGUGCCGCCGGGCGGGUGCGCCCAUGAGGAAAGUCCCCCCACCUCCGGGCAGGUGACCGGGCGCAAGCCCGGAGCGGGAGACCGCUGGCGCUGGAACAGAAACGAGACCCCCCGUCCCGACCGAUGAGGCGCGGGCGCCGCCCGGGGCGUCGCCGCCGACGGACGGGAACGGGUGGAACGGCGAACCCUCACCGGUGCAAGCCCGCCGGACAGGUAGCCCGGAGUCGCGGCGGGUGCUCAGCCGAAUGCCGGGUCGAAACAGAAGGGGGCUUACUAUCCUCAGCC
Molecule: RNase P RNA, 326 nt
Filed under: Halobacteriales archaeon SW_12_69_24
Lineage: Archaea; Methanobacteriati; Methanobacteriota; Halobacteria; Halobacteriales
Description: RNase P RNA component
Rfam family: Archaeal RNase P
About the family: Ribonuclease P (RNase P) is a ubiquitous endoribonuclease, found in archaea, bacteria and eukarya as well as chloroplasts and mitochondria. Its best characterised activity is the generation of mature 5'-ends of tRNAs by cleaving the 5'-leader elements of precursor-tRNAs. Cellular RNase Ps are ribonucleoproteins.
Source: RNAcentral